ACCCAGCACCAGACGUCAUUUGGACGUUGUUUUCUGGUCUAAAUAAAGUCGGCCCGUCAUGGCUUUCUUUUAGACCAAAAAACGACGUUGAAAAAUGGUCUUUGUUUGGUCCGAGAGAUUUGGUCCAAAUUAAGCCCAAAAAGGCGACGUUUAACGGUUUUUUUUUUAAAUCCAAAUUUAGCCCAAAAAUAGAUGUAGAUGGGCUUUUGUCCAAAUUUAGCAGAAAAACACGUUUAUUUCGGACCACAGCCAUUAACAUAAAUAUAGCUAGUGAAGAAAUAGAUUAUACAUCAUAUCUGAAGCACUGUAAAAUAUAUUGAAAUAUAUUUUGAAAACACUGGAUGGGCGCGCGCUGAACUGGAGCGGAGGAGGUCACCAUGGAAACGGGGCGGCAGCUCAACUGUCAAGCACCUGAACUCUGUCUCUCAUGGUUGUUUUCACUCAUUUCAGAAAUGGCUUAUUGUCUUCAGAAAAAGUCCGUUAGCAUCUCAACCUUAAUGCUAACUACAAGAGAUUCUUCCAUGCUGAUGUCCAUACCCUAGAGUUGGAGCGUGUAUCUUUUCAAAGAUCAUUUUUAGACAUUAUGAGACAUAUGACUUGGGGGCAAAAUACAUUGAGUCAAGUCAGACAUUCGACAGUCAUAAUUACUGAUCUUAACACAGAAAAAAUGUGUAAUGAACGCCUCGCAGAUACAAACGGGGUAAAUAAUAGUUCAUCAUUGAUAUAUCUUUUCUAUUUCAGAGACUGAAAAUCAUCGAUAAACCACAAGAGUUUAGCUCCAACCCCAAUUAAGCAGACCGGAGCAGCUGAUCAAAGAUCACCAGAAACUCUGCAGAACGGUUGUCCUGCAUGCCCAGGACUGGACACCAGUGUUAUGCUGGAGAAAAAACAGCGAAAAAACAUCUGCCAUGGCUCAUUAAUCCAGAAUUGGGAUGGUGGAAGGAGCAGAAGAUCCAGAAGAUCAGAGAUCUACUGGUGCCCCUGUGGGAACCAAUUUACCUAAUGAGUUAGUUAAACCAAACAUUUUCAUCACUCACCUUCAUGUUGUUCCAAGCCGGACUUUUGUUCAUCUUUGGAGCAUAAAUGCAGAACUUUUUAAUGAAAUCUGAGAAUAUAAAUUUUUUUAUUUAUACAAUAACACAUUCACGAGAGCACCAUGAUGCAUUAGUGUUGAGUUGGCAUGAGAGCUGGCAAUCUCAUGGUACUUUUGUGAAAAUCUGUUGGGGAUACAUCAUUUCUGAAUACAUUUUUUAUUUUUUUAUUUUAUUUUUUGCUGUUGUUGUUGUUGUUUUUUGUACACAAGGCAUCUGUUAAAAAAUCUUAAUUUGUGUUCUGCACAAAAGGGUCUUAUGGGUUUGGAGCAACAUGAAGGUAAGUAAUUAAUGACAGAAUUUACAUUUUUGGUUGUUCUAAUGUGGUUAUAAUUGGUCAUUGUUUCCAUUUUCAAUAUUUUAAAGAUUUAUUGUCUUGAAAAAUUAUCUUUAUACAGAAAGAUGGAUUCAUUUGAUAAGUUACAGUAAAGACUUUUAAAUUGAUAAAAAAUUAAAAUAAAUA
Long non-coding RNA from Cyprinus carpio (common carp), 1554 nucleotides. RefSeq lists it as uncharacterized. The record is from RefSeq and is a predicted model, not a curated record. The transcript has 5 exons. Lineage: Eukaryota; Metazoa; Chordata; Actinopteri; Cypriniformes; Cyprinidae.